RNAcentral lists this transfer RNA (53 nucleotides) under Wadicosa fidelis. RNAcentral's name for it is "tRNA-Phe". The record is from RNAcentral. Lineage: Eukaryota; Metazoa; Arthropoda; Arachnida; Araneae; Lycosidae.
AUUUAUAUAGUUUAUCUAAAACACUUUACUGAAGAUAAAGAAAACUAUACAUC